RNAcentral lists this ribosomal RNA (451 nucleotides) under uncultured bacterium. RNAcentral's name for it is "bacterial SSU rRNA". It matches the Rfam family "Bacterial small subunit ribosomal RNA", at positions 1052 to 1504 of the family's 1533-position model. The record is from RNAcentral.
UCGUCAGCUCGUGUCGUGAGAUGUUGGGUUAAGUCCCGCAACGAGCGCAACCCUUGCCUUUAGUUGCCAGCAUUAAGCUGGGCACUCUAGAGGGACUGCCAGGGAUAAUCUGGAGGAAGGUGGGGAUGACGUCAAAUCAUCAUGCCCCUUAUGCUUAGGGCUACACACGUGUUACAAUGGGUGGUACAGAGGGCAGCCAAGUCGUGAGGUGGAGCUAAUCCCUUAAAGCCAUUCUCAGUUCGGAUUGUAGGCUGAAACUCGCCUACAUGAAGCUGGAGUUACUAGUAAUCGCAGAUCAGAAUGCUGCGGUGAAUGCGUUCCCGGGUCUUGUACACACCGCCCGUCACACCACGGGAGUUGGGGGCGCCCGAAGCCGGUUUGCUAACCUUUUGGAAGCGUCCGUCGAAGGCAAAAUCAAUAACUGGGGUGAAGUCGUAACAAGGUAACCGUA